UGCGCCCGUAGCUCAGCUGGAUAGAGCGUCGGACUUCGAAUCCGCAGGUCGCGCGUUCGAAUCGCGCCGGGCGUAU
RNAcentral lists this transfer RNA (76 nucleotides) under Candidatus Latescibacteria bacterium ADurb.Bin168. RNAcentral's name for it is "tRNA-Arg". It matches the Rfam family "tRNA". Rfam says of the family: Transfer RNA (tRNA) molecules are approximately 80 nucleotides in length. Their secondary structure includes four short double-helical elements and three loops (D, anti-codon, and T loops). Lineage: Bacteria; Pseudomonadati; Candidatus Latescibacterota. The record is from RNAcentral.